UGGGAGGCCAAGGUGGGCAGAUCACUUGAGGUCAGGGGUUCGAGACCACCCUCACCAACAUGGUGAAACUCCGUCUCUACUAAAAAUACAAAAAUUAGCCAGGCAUGGUGGCGGGCACCUGUAAUCCCAGCUGCUCAGGAAGCUGAGGCAGGAGAAUUGCUUGAACCUGAGAGGCGGAGGUUGCAGUGAGCAGAGAUCACGCUACUGCACUUCAGCCUGGGUGGCAGAGCUAGGCUCUGACUCAUAAAAAGUAAAAAUAAAAUAAAAAUAAGAAGGAAUUACAAAAUGGAACCUUUUCUUUAAUACCAGCCUCUACCACACAAUCCCAUUCCUCCUGUCUCCUGCAGAGGUAGCCUAAAGAUUAAAAUACUCAACAAAUUUCUCACACCACCAUUAAAGCUGCUUACCAAGAACUUCCCCAGCAUUUUGACUUCCUUGUUUGAUAGCUGAAUUGUGAGCAGGUGAUAGAAGAGCCUUUCUAGUUGAACAUACAGAUAAUUUGCUGAAUACAUUCCAUUUAAUGAAGGGGUUACAUCUGUUACGAAGCUACUAAGAAGGAGCAAAAGCAUAGGGAAAAAAAUCUGAUCAGAACGCAUCAAACUCACAUAUGCCCCAUCUACUACAAACAGAUUGUAGUGCUGUGCUGGUUUAUUCCGUUGUGCAGAACUGCAAGCUGAGUCACUAAACCAAAGAGAGGAAAUAAUAGGUUAGUAAACAUUGUAAUCCCAGGAACUAAGUUUAAUUCACUUUUGAGUGUUUUGUUUUUUAUUUUUGUUUGUCUGAUUUACUUUGGGGAAAAGGCUAAAAAAAGGGAUAUCAAUCUCUAAUUCAGUGCCACUAAAGUAGUCCUAAAAGUCUUACUGAAGUAUGGACUUUUAAGCUCAGGUGUUUGUCCUCAAAUAGCUGCAUGGCCACUAAAUGUGAGGCAUUCUGCUAAGUGGGAAAUACACAUUAAAAUAGAGAAAAUGAGAAUUUCUUCCCUUUUAUCAAAACAAGAAGCUUGCUAUUACUACACUUGUUGAUUCAAAUAUUAUUGAGCAAAGUCUUUUCUCCUCCCAAAUUUGGUCUGUAUAGCAUGCCAAUUCCUACUAUUUCCUUUGCCUGGUUAGCUCAGUAGCUACCUAUAAGCAUCACACAUUUUGAGAAGUAGAUGAAACUUAUAUGUUUUUAAUUUGGAAAGCCAUUUUAUAAGGAGUUUGGCAGGCAGGUGAACACUAAAGAGACUUUCCAUGAAUUGGGCACAAUCUAAAAAAAAAAAAAAAACAAGGUAGGAAAAAGAAACUUAUUUACAAUAAUUAGAAAUUUAUCUGCAAUAAUAGCCUGAUCAGCUGACUCAGAGUUAAUGAUUAAUGUAUGGGUCAGGAUUUUGAAGAAAGGAAGAAUGGUAAAAUUGACAAAGGUGAGAGAGAAUAGCAGUUAUAAAGACAGAAGAGUUACUAGAUGGGAGGGAGUUAAGCAAGGUUCAAUAAGUUAUUUUUCCUGUUGACUGGACUUUUUCUUUAAAAAGCAGUGUAGCUUUGCAUACAUUUUUUCUGUGAAAUAGGGUCUUGCUAUGUUGUCAAGGCUGGAUUCAAACUCCUGGGCUCAAGCGAUCCUCCCGCCUCAGCCUCCUGAGUAGCUGGGACUACAGGCAUAUGCCAGUAUGCUCAGCUAAGAGCAGUGUAGCUUUAAUUAUAGCUAAACUACUUACCUUUCAUCUUCCUUUACAUAUUUUAUUUUCUUCUUUGGAAUUUUUAAUAACUAACCAGAUGAAUUGUUACAGUGUUUAUUGGGUGUGCUGUAAGUAGAAUUUUAAACAUGCAAAGCCAUCCAUCAUCCCUUUUUGUGAUCCUACUUAGCUGCCUAUGUGGCCAUUGAUUAUCAAAGGUUAGAUUUAUAGGGUAUACCCAUAUAAAAAGAAUAAUCACAAAAUAAUUAAUUUUCCCAUAUACCUUUCGAUGACAAAAACAAAAUAGGUUGGCCUAUGUUUCUUGAUGAGACUUUUCCAUAUGAUGGUAUUGGCUAGGCUUGGUUCUCUGAUAUGUAAAUACGAUGUCAUUUUUUAAAAUCACUUGCUGCAGUCAGUGUGAAUCUUUAAGUAAAUAGGUGAUUAACUUGUUACUUUGAAAUGUAAAUAUGUGAAAUUUUAGAUUAAAUUAAAUAUCUCUAUUCCAGUUUUGGAAUUUAGGAAUUCUCAUUUUAGGUUUUUUCUUAUUUCCUGUUUAAGUGACAGUUAUUAACAUAUCUGAACAAUCAGCUUUGAUAAAAUAGUAAUUUUGAUUUGUUCCCUUUGGUUAUUUAUAUUUGUCACAGGUAUUGGUUAAGUCAGUCAAAAACCAUGUGUUGAGGGUCUGCUAUAUGCACACCAUUGUACUUAGUUUAGGAUUUGUUAAGAGUAGAAAUGAAAUAUUUUCAGCUUUAAAUUCUAAAUUGGCAAAUAGAUCUUACCUCUACUAAUAGUUCUUUUGAGUACAAAUUUAAUUUGAAUGAAAGUAAAUCUGUAUCUUGUGAAUGAAAGGAAUUUACUUUGUUGUGUACAGAGAAACCCAUUUGCCUGGCUUUUGUCAAUAAUUCAUUUGAAUUUAUAACCCUUUUUUUUUUUUUUUUUUUUUGAGACGGAGUCUUGCUCUGUCGCCCAGGCAAGAGUGCAGUGGCGCGAUCUCGGCUCACUGCAGCCUCUGCCUCCCGGGUUCAAGCAAUUCUCCUGCCUCAGCCUCCUGAGUAGCUGGGACUAUAGCCGCGUGCCGCCAUGCCCAGCUAAUUUUUGUAUUUUUAGUAGAGACAGGAUUUAACUAUGUUGGCCAGGCUGGUCUUGAUUUCCUGACCUCGUGAUCCGUCCUCCUCAGCCUCCCAACAUGCUGGGAUUAUAGGCAUGAGCCACCACACCCGGCCGAAUUUAUAAUCCAUGUUAACAGUAAUAUUUUGCUUUUGCUUCCUGUCCUUUGCAUUAAAUACUUAAAUUUGCAAAAUCUGAUACUGCUUAUGGCAUCAAGAACCACUUUGGAAAAAAAACUUUGUUAAAGUAGAAAUGCUGUUAAUUCUUAGGCGUUUUGAGGUCGGACAUUGUCUCUUGGUGGAAUACCACCUUACUGAUUAGUGCUAACAUGAGAGGGUAAUUAUUAGACCUUGCAAAUUAGCAAGUAAAUAAAAUAAAAAAUAUUUUAUCACAAAAAUUUACACUGAUUAUGUUAGGCGAGUGCCCAAUUUCAAAUACUGUUUGGGUUUUCCGUUUGUUUUUGUUUAGUUUUCUUUGGUUGUAGUUCCCAUGCUCCAUAUGCAGCUUUACUGUAGUUCACAGAAAAGGUAUCACCUGGACAUUGAAAACUCACCAAAAUCCAGCCAGUACAUUUAAUUGGGCUUAGAGUGAAACCAUUUGGGUGGUAUGGAGGUAUACAGAAUGAAAAAUCGGGGUGGAGGGCAUGGGAAUAUAUACUUAUAAUAAUGUUUCAUGGUAUUUAGUAAUUAUAAUUGCUUAGGAAUUAAUAUGAGUUAUUAGGG
Molecule: long non-coding RNA, 3477 nt
Filed under: Homo sapiens (human)
Lineage: Eukaryota; Metazoa; Chordata; Mammalia; Primates; Hominidae
Description: non-protein coding lnc-WASF3-3:1
Source: RNAcentral